GAAAUGCGAUAAGUAAUGUGAAUUGCAGAAUUCAGUGAAUCAUCGAAUCUUUGAACGCACAUUGCGCUCGCCAGUAUUCUGGCGAGCAUGCCUGUUCGAGCGUCAUUUCAACCAUCAAGCUCUGCUUGCGUUGGGGAUCCGCGGCUGCCCUCGGUCCCUCAAAAACAGUGGCGGGCUCGCUAGUCACACCGAGCGUAGUAACUCUACAUCGCUAUGGUCGUGCGGCGGGUUCUUGCCGUAAAACCCCCAAUUUCUAAGGUUGACCUCGGAUCAGGUAGGAAUACCCGCUGAACUUAAGC
This 299-nucleotide unclassified non-coding RNA is filed under the name plant metagenome. RNAcentral describes it as "partial contains 5.8S ribosomal RNA, internal transcribed spacer 2, and large subunit ribosomal RNA". The stretch from base 1 to 105 matches the Rfam family "5.8S ribosomal RNA", at positions 50 to 154 of the family's 154-position model. The record is from RNAcentral.